RNAcentral lists this long non-coding RNA (533 nucleotides) under Sinocyclocheilus anshuiensis. RNAcentral's name for it is "lncRNA (ENSSANG00000029263.1)". The record is from RNAcentral. Lineage: Eukaryota; Metazoa; Chordata; Actinopteri; Cypriniformes; Cyprinidae.
CAGUGGUUCAAAAUACCAGCCACCAAUUGUAUUGAGCAAGAAGAUGACCUAUCUCUUGAGGAGUCAGUGUACAUUAUCAGAGAACUGGCUGCUGAACUGGACAGAGUGGUACAGUCCAAGAAGUUAUCCUUGAUGACUCGGAAGAUUAAAAAUAAAGGAAGUAACGAAGAACAACAGUAUUAUAUUUUGCAGUGGGCAAAAGAUCUUGAGAACAUAAAGACAAAACAAAUGGACAAGAAAGAGACCUCCUCUGAGCAGUUGUCAAGUGAAAUGAAAUUUAACAAAGCAAAAAAAAUCUUGUCUGACUGGUUUUGGAAACUGAAAGAUCUGAAACAGAACUCAGUAUGUCCAAAGGGGGGAUGGGAAGAAACACUGAGGGAUCUUCACAAAGAGCGGAAGCAGGGAGAGUCCAGCAUGCUUCCAGUAAUGGACUGGAUGGUAUGGGCUGUUCUACAGUCAGAAUGCUCUGAGGUAAAGAAUACAAAAGUUGAUCAUAUAAUGAAAAUUAAAGUUGAAGAAACCAAAAGAUACAA